AAACACUCUGGCUAGCAACCCGAAUGGAUCCAGCUCUUGCGUGAAUUGGAUGCUGGUGGAGAACGACAGAGGCCUCUAACCCACGAGGUUAUUCUGCAACUUCAGGUGGCCCUGGUACCUGGAGGAUGCACCUGUCACCCACCUGUCAUUCAAUGGACCAUAGGCCAAGGAGGUUCAAAUCAGUAACUGAGAUGUUCUACAAUAUCACAUUACCCACCGGGAAAACUAUAGAUGAGAGAUGUCGAUUCUGAGGAAAAACCGAAGAUGUAGAGACGAUAAAAAUAAGAAUU
Molecule: non-coding RNA, 290 nt
Organism: Delphinapterus leucas (beluga whale)
Lineage: Eukaryota; Metazoa; Chordata; Mammalia; Artiodactyla; Monodontidae
Source: RefSeq, a predicted model, not a curated record